RNAcentral lists this ribosomal RNA (443 nucleotides) under uncultured bacterium. RNAcentral describes it as "partial 16S ribosomal RNA". It matches the Rfam family "Bacterial small subunit ribosomal RNA", at positions 338 to 795 of the family's 1533-position model. The record is from RNAcentral.
CCUACGGGAGGCUGCAGUGGGGGAUAUUGGACAAUGGGGGGAACCCUGAUCCAGCGACGCCGCGUGAGUGAAGAAGUAUCUCGGUAUGUAAAGCCCUGUCAGCAGGGAAGAAAGAAAUGACGGUACCUGACCAAGAAGCCCCGGCAAACUACGUGCCAGCAGCCGCGGUAAUACGUAGGGGACAAGCGUUAUCCGGAAUUACUGGGUGUAACGGGAGCGUAGACGGUUAAGUAAGUCUGGAGUGAAAGGCCGGGGCCCAAACCCGGGCCUGCUCUUGAAACUAUUGAACUUGAGUGCAAGAGAGGUAAGCGGAAUGCGUGGUGUAGCGGUGAAAUGCGUAGAUAUUACGAGGAACACCAGUGGCGAAGGCGGCUUACUGGACUGUAACUGACGUUGAGGCUCGAAAGCGUGGGGAGCAAACAGGAUUAGAUACCCGUGUAGUC